Molecule: ribosomal RNA, 499 nt
Filed under: uncultured bacterium
Lineage: Bacteria
Description: partial 16S ribosomal RNA
Rfam family: Bacterial small subunit ribosomal RNA
Source: RNAcentral
GACGAACGCUGGCGGCAUGCCUAAUACAUGCAAGUCGAGCGAAGUUUUUCUGGUGCUUGCACUAGAAAAACUUAGCGGCGAACGGGUGAGUAACACGUAAAGAACCUGCCUCAUAGACUGGGACAACUAUUGGAAACGAUAGCUAAUACCGGAUAACAGCAUUAACUGCAUGGUUGAUGUUUAAAAGUUUGUUUUGCUAACACUAUGAGAUGGCUUUGCGGUGCAUUAGCUAGUUGGUGGGGUAAAGGCCUACCAAGGCGACGAUGCAUAGCCGACCUGAGAGGGUGAUCGGCCACACUGGGACUGAGACACGGCCCAGACUCCUACGGGAGGCAGCAGUAGGGAAUCUUCCGCAAUGGGCGAAAGCCUGACGGAGCAACGCCGCGUGAGUGAAGAAGGAUUUCGGUUCGUAAAGCUCUGUUGUUAGGGAAGAAUGAUUGUGUAGUAACUAUACACAGUAGAGACGGUACCUAACCAGAAAGCCACGGCUAACUACGUG